RNAcentral lists this ribosomal RNA (460 nucleotides) under uncultured bacterium. RNAcentral's name for it is "partial 16S ribosomal RNA". It matches the Rfam family "Bacterial small subunit ribosomal RNA", at positions 338 to 795 of the family's 1533-position model. The record is from RNAcentral.
CCUACGGGAGGCAGCAGUGAGGAAUAUUGGUCAAUGGGCGCGAGCCUGAACCAGCCAAGUAGCGUGAGGGAUGACUGCCCUACGGGUUGUAGACUUCUUUUAUAAGGGGAUAAAGUGAGGCACGUGUGCCGUUUUGUAUGUACUUUGUGAAUAAGGAUCGGCUAACUCCGUGCCAGCAGCCGCGGUAAUACGGAGGAUACGAGCGUUAUCCGGAUUUAUUGGGUUUAAAGGGAGCGUAGAUGGGUUGUUAAGUCAGUUGUGAAAGUUUGCGGCUCAACCGUAAAAUUGCAAUUGAUACUGGCAGUCUUGAGUACAGUGGAGGUAGGCGGAAUGCGCGGUGUAGCGGUGAAAUGCUUAGAUAUCACGAAGAACCCCGAUUGCGAAGGCAGCUUACCAAACCGCCACUGACAUUGAGGCUCGAAAGUGCGGGGAUCAAACAGGAUUAGAUACCCGUGUAGUC